RNAcentral lists this long non-coding RNA (412 nucleotides) under Salmo salar (Atlantic salmon). RNAcentral describes it as "lncRNA (ENSSSAG00000096956.1)". The record is from RNAcentral. Lineage: Eukaryota; Metazoa; Chordata; Actinopteri; Salmoniformes; Salmonidae.
GUAGAAUCCUUCCAGUUAAUUUUAUCCAAAAUCAGGUUUGUAGUUAUGUUGUGGAGGUUAGUGUGCUGUAUAUGUCCUGGUGACAUAGUGUUGUGGAGGGUAGUGUGCUGUAUAUGUCCUGGUGACAUAGUGUUGUGGAGGGUAGUGUGCUGUAUAUGUCCUGGUGACAUAGUGUUGUGGAGGGUAGUGUGCUGUAUAUGUCCUGGUGACAUAGUGUUGUGGAGGGUAGUGUGCUGUAUAUGUCUUGGUGACAUAGUGUUGUGGAGGUUAGUGUGCUGUAUAUGUCUUGGCCGAAUAAUCCAAGUUUAUCUAACUCUAAAUCUAUAUAUAUUUUUUUAAUGUCCUGGUGACAUAGUGUUGUGGAGGUUAGUGUGCUGUAUAUGUCCUGGUGACAUAGUGUUGUGGAGGUUAG